UUCGGACUGGAGUCUGCAACCCGACUCCACGAAGUUGGAUUCGCUAGUAAUCGCGCAUCAGCCAUGGCGCGGUGAAUACGUUCCCGGGUCCUUGUACACACCCGCCCGUCAAGCCAUGGGAGCCGGGGGCGCCUGAAGUCCGGGACCGCGAGGACCGGCCUAGGGCGAAACUGGUGACUGGGGCUAAGUCGUAACAAGGUAUC
RNAcentral lists this ribosomal RNA (203 nucleotides) under uncultured bacterium. RNAcentral describes it as "partial 16S ribosomal RNA". It matches the Rfam family "Bacterial small subunit ribosomal RNA", at positions 1292 to 1500 of the family's 1533-position model. The record is from RNAcentral.